CCCCUUCUCUAAGCACUCGCCGGGUCCCCGCCGUGGCCCGGGGAGCUGUCGUGGAAGGGCAGAGCCAAGGCGCCGCUUUGGGGUGAAGUUGGCAGCUGCUGGUGCUGCUGGCUUCAAUCCGCGGUGGGACAGAG
This 134-nucleotide small nucleolar RNA is filed under the name Lonchura striata (white-rumped munia). The record is from RNAcentral. Lineage: Eukaryota; Metazoa; Chordata; Aves; Passeriformes; Estrildidae.